ACUCCUACGGGAGGCAGCAGUGGGGAAUAUUGGACAAUGGGGGCAACCCUGAUCCAGCAAUACCGCGUGUGUGAAGAAGGCCUUCGGGUUGUAAAGCACUUUCAGUGAUGAGGAAGGGGUUAGUGUUAAUAGCGCUGACCUUUGACGUUAGUCACAGAAGAAGCACCGGCUAACUCUGUGCCAGCAGCCGCGGUAAUACAGAGGGUGCAAGCGUUAAUCGGAAUUACUGGGCGUAAAGCGCAUGCAGGCGGCCUGUUAAGUCAGAUGUGAAAGCCCGGGCUUAAGCCUCGGAAUUGCAUUUGAAACUGGCAGGCUAGAGUCUUGUAGAGGGGGUGAGAAUUGAUCAGGUGUAGCGGUGAAAUGCAGUAGAGAACUGAAGGAAUACCAGUGGCGAAGGC
Molecule: ribosomal RNA, 398 nt
Filed under: uncultured bacterium
Lineage: Bacteria
Description: bacterial SSU rRNA
Rfam family: Bacterial small subunit ribosomal RNA
Source: RNAcentral